This 75-nucleotide transfer RNA is filed under the name Mycobacterium phage Cosmo. Its description in RNAcentral is "tRNA-Met". It matches the Rfam family "tRNA". Rfam says of the family: Transfer RNA (tRNA) molecules are approximately 80 nucleotides in length. Their secondary structure includes four short double-helical elements and three loops (D, anti-codon, and T loops). The record is from RNAcentral. Lineage: Duplodnaviria; Heunggongvirae; Uroviricota; Caudoviricetes; Vilmaviridae.
GGCAGAGUAGAGAAACGGUAUCUCGCAAGGCUCAUAACCUUUGAAAAAGGCGGGUUCGACUCCCCCCUCUGCUCC